Paramormyrops kingsleyae is the source of this 459-nucleotide long non-coding RNA. RefSeq lists it as uncharacterized. Lineage: Eukaryota; Metazoa; Chordata; Actinopteri; Osteoglossiformes; Mormyridae. The record is from RefSeq and is a predicted model, not a curated record.
UAUCUUAUGCCUGCCUCUUUGACACCUGACUACGGGACUCAUACAACGCAGCUGGUUUGGCUGUGAAACAAGGUUGGAAAUUGUCACCUGUGGUGGGUCAGAAGUGGAUGAGAAGAUUGGAGUGAAGCAUCCUUCAGAGGUUUCCGCAGAGACACGGAGUGACACGGGAAGACUAAUUAUCCAGCGUUCUUUUUACGCUGCAUCAGCACCAGGGAAUGAGUGAUCCUAGUUGGCUGUCGAUGAGAGAAGUGCUCUCCAGGAUGCUGGUGAGAGAGAGUGACGGGGCGAGCUAGGGCCAGCUAACCAUGUGACUCCAGCCAGCCAACCAUCUUCCAGUGUGGCCAGACGGGUGACCCGCGACUGGAGAGAACCCGCCGGGCCCGUGCGGUGAUGUGCUGUGGUUUUACCAGACGGAGGCUAAGUAAAAAAAGCAAUUAGCAAGAAACACAUGAAUGCAUC